Molecule: transfer RNA, 70 nt
Filed under: Loxodonta africana (African savanna elephant)
Lineage: Eukaryota; Metazoa; Chordata; Mammalia; Proboscidea; Elephantidae
Rfam family: tRNA
About the family: Transfer RNA (tRNA) molecules are approximately 80 nucleotides in length. Their secondary structure includes four short double-helical elements and three loops (D, anti-codon, and T loops).
Source: Rfam by way of RNAcentral
GCAUUGGGGUUCAAUGGUAGAAUUCUCACCUUCUGUGUGGGAGGCCAGGGUUUGAUUCCCAACCAGUGCA